UUAUCUCUGUAGAGUCUGCAUAUCAAUAAGCGGAGGAAAAGAAACUAACAAGGAUUCCCCUAGUAACGGCGAGUGAAGCGGGAAGAGCUCAAAUUUGAAAUCUUCAAGGUUUGACCUUGACGAAUUGUAGUUUAAAGAAGUGUUUUCGGUUAGAGGAGUAGUAAAAGUUCUUUGGAAUAGGACAUCAUAGAGGGUGAGAAUCCCGUAUUUGACUAUUCUUUCUAGCUUUGUGAUACACUUUCAAAGAGUCGGAUUGUUUGGGAAUGCAGUCCAAAAUGGGUGGUAAAUUUCAUCUAAAGCUAAAUAUUGGCGAGAGACCGAUAGCGAACAAGUACCGUGAGGGAAAGAUGAAAAGAACUUUGAAAAGAGAGUUAAACAGUACGUGAAAUUGUCAAAAGGGAAGCGUUUGACACCAGUGUUGUUUUUCCGAAAAUCAAUUAAAAAUUGAUUCAUGCCAGGUUGUAUUGACCUUAUCAGCUUGCAAUUUGGUUUUGGGUCUCUUUUUGAUGCACUUUUCGGUUAACAAGUCAACAUCAAUUUCCUUUGCUGUAAAAAGGUAAGAGGAAGGUGGCUUCAAUUUCGGUUGAAGUGUUUAUAGCCUUUUAUCUCUGCAGUCGGGGAGAUUGAGGUCUGCAGCGUAGAUCCUUCGGGGCUAGAUACAUUUAUGCUAAGUUAUAGCUUUUCAUAGACAACUUGUUGACUAUGUUUAGUCAUGUAGCUUACUCGUAAGUGCUAUUUUACCUACGCUUAGGAUGUUGAGCGCAUGUCUCUCUCU
This 775-nucleotide ribosomal RNA is filed under the name uncultured Neocallimastigales. RNAcentral describes it as "partial large subunit ribosomal RNA". It matches the Rfam family "Eukaryotic large subunit ribosomal RNA", at positions 24 to 642 of the family's 3401-position model. The record is from RNAcentral. Lineage: Eukaryota; Fungi; Neocallimastigomycota; Neocallimastigomycetes; Neocallimastigales.